UAGCGGCCGCGACCUGGGCGGGCUGAGGCGGGUCUGUGUGUGCGUGUGUGUGACGGGCCUCGGGGCCGCGGUGGAUGGUUUCUAAAAUGAUCAUUGAAAACUUCGAGGCACUCAAGUCCUGGCUCAGCAAGACCCUCGAGCCCAUCUGUGAUGCAGAUCCAUCAGCCCUAGCAAAAUAUGUUUUGGCUUUAGUAAAGAAAGACAAAAGUGAAAAAGAACUGAAGGCAUUAUGUAUUGAUCAGUUGGAUGUAUUUCUUCAGAAAGAGACACAGAUAUUUGUAGAAAAACUUUUUGAUGCUGUGAAUACAAAGAGCUAUCUGCCUCCCCCAGAGCAGCCAUCAUCAGGAAGCCUGAAGGUAGAAUUUUUUCAGCACCAAGAAAAAGACAUAAAAAAAGAAGAGGUUACAAAGGAGGAUGAACGAGAGAAGAAGUUUUCUAGAAGGCUAAAUCACAGUCCUCCCCAGUCAAGCUCCCGAUACAGAGAAAAUAGAAGUCGUGAUGAGAGGAAAAAAGAUGAUCGUUCUCGAAAAAGAGAUUAUGAUCGAAAUCCUCCUCGAAGAGAUUCCUACAGAGACCGAUACAAUAGAAGACGAGGACGAAGUCGCAGUUACAGUAGGAGUCGGAGUCGAAGUUGGAGUAAAGAGAGGCUUCGUGACAGGGAUAGAGAUAGAAGCAGAAGUAGAAGCAGAAGCAGAACACGAAGUAGGGAACGGGAUCUAGUAAAACCUAAAUAUGACCUGGAUAGAACAGAUCCGCUAGAAAAUAAUUAUACUCCAGUCUCUUCCGUACCUAAUAUUUCAUCUGGCCACUAUCCUGUCCCUACUUUGAGCAGCACCAUUACUGUCAUUGCACCUACUCAUCAUGGUAAUAACACCACUGAAAGUUGGUCAGAAUUUCAUGAAGAUCAGGUGGACCAUAACUCUUAUGUAAGACCACCAAUGCCAAAGAAACGGUGUAGAGACUAUGAUGAAAAGGGUUUUUGUAUGAGAGGAGACAUGUGCCCUUUUGAUCAUGGAAGUGACCCAGUUGUCGUAGAAGAUGUGAAUCUUCCUGGUAUGCUGCCUUUUCCAGCCCAGCCACCUGUUGUUGAAGGACCACCUCCUCCUGGACUCCCUCCGCCUCCACCAAUUCUUACACCCCCACCAGUGAACCUUCGACCUCCAGUGCCACCUCCAGGUCCAUUACCACCUAGUCUCCCACCUGUCACAGAUGAUAUUUCUUAUUCUUUGGUUUUGACAGGACCACCACCUCCACUUCCUCCUUUGCAGCCAUCUGGCAUGGAUGCUCCCCCAAACUCUGCAACCAGUUCUGUUCCUACUGUAGUAACAACUGGCAUUCAUCAUCAGCCUCCUCCUGCUCCACCCUCUCUUUUUACUGCAGUUUUUGUAUUACCAGAUACAUAUGACACAGAUGGCUACAAUCCAGAGGCCCCAAGCAUAACAAACACUUCCAGACCUAUGUAUAGACACAGAGUGCAUGCACAAAGGCCUAACUUGAUAGGACUAACGUCAGGGGAUAUGGAUUUGCCACCCAGAGAAAAGCCUCCUAAUAAAAGCAGCAUGAGGAUAGUAGUGGAUUCAGAAUCAAGGAAAAGAACUAUUGGUUCUGGAGAACCUGGAGUUCCUACAAAGAAGACUUGGUUUGAUAAACCGAAUUUUAAUAGGACAAAUAGCCCGGGCUUCCAGAAGAAGGUUCAAUUUGGAAAUGAAAAUACCAAACUUGAGCUUAGAAAAGUUCCUCCAGAAUUAAAUAAUAUCAGCAAACUUAAUGAACAUUUUAGUCGUUUUGGUACAUUGGUAAACUUACAAGUUGCCUAUAAUGGUGAUCCAGAAGGUGCCCUUAUCCAAUUUGCAACAUAUGAAGAAGCAAAGAAAGCAAUUUCAAGUACGGAAGCUGUAUUAAACAAUCGCUUUAUUAAGGUUUAUUGGCAUAGAGAAGGAAGUACCCAACAGCUACAAACUACUUCCCCAAAGGUAAUGCAGCCUUUAGUCCAGCAGCCCAUUUUACCUGUGGUGAAGCAGUCAGUCAAAGAGCGGUUGGGUCCAGUACCUUCAAGUACUAUUGAACCCGCAGAAGCCCAGAGUGCUAGUUCAGAUCUUCCUCAGAAUGUAACUAAGUUAUCUGUGAAGGACAGGUUGGGUUUUGUAUCAAAGCCAUCUGUUUCAGCAACUGAAAAGGUGUUGUCUACAUCUACUGGCCUAACAAAAACAGUGUAUAAUCCAGCUGCUUUGAAGGCUGCACAAAAAACCUUACUUGUUACCUCUCCUGCAGCUGAUACUAAUGAAGCACAGAAAAAAAAACAGGAGGCCCUGAAACUUCAGCAGGAUGUAAGGAAAAGGAAGCAAGAAAUUUUAGAAAAGCACAUUGAAACACAGAAGAUGUUAAUUUCAAAACUAGAAAAAAACAAAGCAAUGAAAUCUGAAGAUAAAGCAGAAAUAAUGAAAACUUUAGAAGUUUUGACUAAAAAUAUUACCAAGUUGAAAGAUGAAGUUAAAUCUACUUCUCCUGGACGCUGUCUCCCCAAAAGUAUAAAAACUAAGACUCAGAUGCAGAAAGAAUUACUUGACACAGAACUGGAUUUAUAUAAGAAGAUGCAGGCUGGAGAAGAAGUCACUGAACUUAGAAGAAAAUAUACAGAAUUACAGCUGGAAGCUGCAAAACGAGGGAUUCUUUCGUCUGGUCGAGGUAGAGGAAUUCAUCCAAGAGGUCGAGGUGCAGCUCAUGGCCGAGGCAGGGGGCGAGGGCGAGGGCGAGGUGUGCCUGGACAUGCUGUGGUGGAUCACCGACCCAGGGCAUUGGAGAUUUCUGCGUUUACAGAGAGUGAUAGAGAAGAUCUUCUUCCUCAUUUUGCGCAAUAUGGUGAAAUUGAAGAUUGUCAGAUUGAUGAUUCUUCACUUCAUGCAGUAAUUACAUUCAAGACAAGAGUAGAGGCAGAAGCCGCUGCAGUUCAUGGAGCUCGUUUCAAAGGGCAGGAUCUAAAACUGGCAUGGAAUAAACCAAUAACUAAUAUUUCAGCUGUGGAAACAGAAGAAGUUGAACCUGAUGAAGAGGAAUUUCAGGAAGAGUCUUUGGUGGAUGACUCAUUACUUCAAGAUGAUGAUGAAGAGGAGGAGGACAAUGAAUCUCGUUCUUGGAGAAGAUGAUUUGACUGAUCAUUGAUCUGCAUAUGCUAAAACUGUACCUGUGUUUCAUUAGUAUUAUCUAAUGUACUUUUACAUAUUUGUAAAAACAAUUUUUGGUAAAAUGUGAUGAAGAUGGAUUUCACAAAUAGACAAAAGAGAAGAAAACUACCUUCUGAUCCUGUAUUUUGAAAGAUUGAUGUUUGCAUUUUAUUUCAGUAAACAGUUGCUAAAGACAUCACCUAGAACAUAUGCAAUGUUUUUAUUACAUACUUUUACUGAACAUUACAGAAUUCUUUGGGUUCUUUGUAAUUUAAUGAAUAGGUUUGAAAAUUUAUGACCCAAUACUUGUUAUAACUUAGAGGAUUUUGUUUUACUGCAAAUAAGGAAUGAAUUUGCAUUUAAAAUCUUAAUGAAUGUUUUCAAAAAUGAAUUGAUAAUAUAGUACUCUAACUAAAGUCUCCAAGUUAUGUAUUCAUAAUAUUACAUAGUAGUAUGCUUAGGCUUUACUAUGUAUUAGCCUUUUGUUAGACUUGUGUAUGUAUUUUACCACAUGGGUUUUAAUGAUAAUGGUGUAUGACUGCUUUACAUAUGAGUCCCUAUGCAUCUGGAUGUUCAAAAUAAAGUGGAAUGGUCUUUUAAAAAGAAAAAAAAAGAGAGAAAAAAAAGAAAAUUAAGACAAUGUUCCUUGAUUAAAAAAAAAGAAAAAAAGAAAAAAAAAAGAAAAUAAAUAGACCAUUCCAGAUGGCAAUUUACCUUUCCCUUAGUUUUCACAGAAAGAGCUUUAAUCACUAAUUUAAUAAUGGUUACUUGAUACUUUUACAAUAAUGUACAAUCCAAUGUUUAAAAUUAUUCCACUUCAGUUUUGAUUUGAUCCUAUAAAUUUUCAACAGAUGUCUUAAAAUUUAAAAGCAGGCUGAUUAGUUUGGAACCAGACUUCAAGUAGUGCUAACAUUUGGUGAAUAAGAAAACAUCAUAUUACAUUUUGGAUGUAUGAAAGAAAACUUGACCAUUUGAAGAUGUAUGAAUAAAGAAAUGUACUAUAGAUACUACUUUAGGAAAACACUGUUUGUAGUCGUGAAAGGUGCCAAAUUGGCAGAGGCUCACGUUUCUUCUCUUUACACCAAACAGCAGAGAGAAAUCAUCUUUGCCUGAAUUUAGCUUUGUGACUACAAGAGCAAGACCAGUCCUGUAUGGAGACGACUGUUAAUGAUAAUAUCAUUCUAUCAUUUUGUUUGCUCUUCACCAAUUUGAAUAGAUGUUUACAUGUACUGUAAUUAGCAUUCUACCUUUACAGUUCUCUGAGAAUACACCUGAGUCCAGAAGUAUAUCUGAAUGUGUGCUCUGAAUGUGUGAUAUUAUUCAUAGAUAUUUUCUUCCCUCUUCUAGCCUUUUAUUUUUUAAAUACCUUAAAAGAAGGAAUAAGGCUUCUUGGUUUCCUAAUAUGAGAUGUGUUAGUCUUGGCCAAACUAAGAAUUGUGUCUAGGAAAUCUGUAUAGCCAUGAUAGUGUGUUUAUUACUGUGAACAAUUUAGAAUGAAGAAAAUGAAUUAAAAUGUCAAACCUAAGUUCUGUUUAUUUAUUUUCUUGGUUUUAGGAUGUAAUUUCUUGGAUUAGGAUAGUUGCUUAAAAUAAUUUUAAACAGAUGGUAAAAAUCCUUUUUAAGCACUAUUUCUUAAGUUUAUUGGUGUUAUUGCUAAGGAUAGUGACCCAAAUAUUUUUUAAAAGUAAUUUAGCUCUUCAAAACCAACAAGGAGAAUUAAUGUUCUUUUGAAGCAAUAAAAAUGAUCUGGGGUUUAUUGAUAAUUAAAUACACUGAUUUUGAAAAAAUAAUUUACAGAGUUUUUUCAUGCUUUUUUUACUUGUAAUCAAGACAUCAAAGGCAAUUGUAAAAGCAAGGGAAAAUAGUCUUACAUGUUUGACAUUGUUAAAGAUUGUCACCUAAUUUUAAAAGUACAUACAAAUGAUAAGCAGUAAAGUUUUAGGAUUAUAAAGUAUACAGCUUAAUCUUACUAUUUAUUUACAGUAUCCUUUU
RNA transcript from Dipodomys spectabilis (banner-tailed kangaroo rat), 5153 nucleotides. It is a transcript of the gene named RNA binding motif protein 26, with no coding region annotated. The record is from RefSeq and is a predicted model, not a curated record. The transcript has 24 exons. Lineage: Eukaryota; Metazoa; Chordata; Mammalia; Rodentia; Heteromyidae.